Molecule: ribosomal RNA, 440 nt
Filed under: uncultured bacterium
Lineage: Bacteria
Description: partial 16S ribosomal RNA
Rfam family: Bacterial small subunit ribosomal RNA
Source: RNAcentral
CCUACGGGCGGCAGCAGUAGGGAAUAUUGCUCAAUGGGGGAAACCCUGAAGCAGCAACGCCGCGUGGAGGAUGACUGCUUUCGGAUUGUAAACUCCUUUUUUUAGAGAAGUUAAUGACUGUAUCUAACGAAUAAUCACCGUCCAACUCCGUGCCAGCAGCCGCGGUAAUAUGGAAGGUGCAAGCGUUACUCGGAAUCACUGGGCGUAAAGAGGGCGUAGGCGGUUUAGCAAGUCAGUCGUGAAAUCCUAUGGCGUAACCAUAGAACUGCAUCUGAAACUGUUAUUCUAGAGUAUGGGAAAGGUAGGUGGAAUUCGUGGUGUAGGGGUAAAAUCCGUAGAGAUCAAGAAGAAUACUGAUUGCGAAGGCGACCUGCUAGAACAUAACUGACGCUGAUGCGCGAAAGCGUGGGGAGCAAACAGGAUUAGAUACCCGAGUAGUC